This 73-nucleotide transfer RNA is filed under the name Theileria orientalis. RNAcentral's name for it is "tRNA-Met". It matches the Rfam family "tRNA". From Rfam's summary of the family: Transfer RNA (tRNA) molecules are approximately 80 nucleotides in length. Their secondary structure includes four short double-helical elements and three loops (D, anti-codon, and T loops). Further hydrogen bonds mediate the characteristic L-shaped molecular structure. tRNAs have two regions of fundamental functional importance: the anti-codon, which is responsible for specific mRNA codon recognition, and the 3' end, to which the tRNAs corresponding amino acid is attached (by aminoacyl-tRNA synthetases). tRNAs cope with the degeneracy of the genetic code in two manners: having more than one tRNA (with a specific anti-codon) for a particular amino acid; and 'wobble' base-pairing, i.e. permitting non-standard base-pairing at the 3rd anti-codon position. Lineage: Eukaryota; Apicomplexa; Aconoidasida; Piroplasmida; Theileriidae. The record is from RNAcentral. RNAcentral also lists the same sequence under 1 other name.
AUAUCUAUUGCUUAGAGGUUAUAGCAGUGAGCUCAUAACUCACCAUACAGUAGUUCGAAUCUACUUAGAUAUA